Molecule: non-coding RNA, 1348 nt
Organism: Nelumbo nucifera (sacred lotus)
Lineage: Eukaryota; Viridiplantae; Streptophyta; Magnoliopsida; Proteales; Nelumbonaceae
Source: RefSeq, a predicted model, not a curated record
AGGCCUACUUGAGGAGUUAUGGAAUUCAAUCUUAGCGCAAUUGCCUAGAUACUCUACAACAUAAUGGUAUGGCUGAACGGAAGAAUGGACUUGUCCUCAAUGUUGUGCGAACAUUACUACAGGAAUCUCAUACUCCAACUUCAUUUUGGGUAGAAGCAGUCAGUACAACUGUGUAUUUAAUCAACUAUCUUCCCUCCUUUGUUCUCGGCAACACUUCUCCCUUCCAAAAACUUUUUGGUCAUCUCCCAGAUUUCUCUAGUCUUCAUGUUUUUGGUUGUCUUUGUUUUGUACAUCUUCCUAUUCGUGAACAAUCUAAAUUAACUGCUCAAUCUGCUAUGUGUGCCUUUGUGGGAUAUAGUCCUGACCACAAAGGAUUUUUGUGCUAUGAUCYUGCUAUUCGUCGUUUUCGGAUUUCCCGAAAUGUUGUGUUUCUUUAACAUAUUUUGUUCUUUGUUGGGAUUGCUAGAUUGUCUGUUCUUUCCAUCUCUAUUUUGCAGGACUUUGAUUCAGACAACACUACUACUUCCUCGACUGAGAGAGAUUUUCUCGUCUUCACCCGCAAGUGACUACCGGUUCUUGCGCCUACAACCCUCCUUCCACCCAGUCCAGAGCAUUCCUCUUCUGUACCCCCUAUAAGUGACGCUUUAGCCCAAGAUCCUCCUAUUUCAAAUAGUAGUUCUGUUAUUCCACUUCGUCAUUCUACUCAUAUUUCUUGACCCCCUGACCGCUAUGGUUUUCCUUCAAACCAUAGUUCCUUUUCUGUUGUACUUUCUUCCACAGAUAUUUCUCCACAACUUUCUCACUCUUGUUUCACUACAUUUUUUGACUCUCUCCUUCUCUCGUUCCACGACUUCUCCCACUAAACCCUAUUUUCCUUCGCAUUUCCCUUCAUUCUCCCUUGAACAACAAAAUCAGUAUCAUUAUUCAUGCCGCCACCACUGAUUCCUACAUUGAAUGGCAUUGCUACAUUUGUUUGAGGGUAUCUAUCCAGAUUAAGCGUCAAGACAAAGGGGAUUAAGAAAGAGAGUUGAAUCUCAAGCUACAGGUUACGGGAAAGUGAUAAGGACUUAAAGGCUCCUAAACUACAUCCAUUGGGCUGGCAUAUUUCUUAUGUUAAGUCACUUGCAGAGUUUUCACGAAUUCCUAUUGUUGUGACCAACCAAGCCAGAAGUCAAAAUAGCAAUGAUUCCUUUCACUAUCCCUUCCAAGGUAAAAGGUUUAUUAAAGUGGAAAAAUCUCUAGUAUCACCACCUCUUGCAUUUCCUUUUGUCGUUACUUCAUCAAGGAUUUCAUUAGUAAGUGAUGAUGUUAUAGAAAUACCUGGACCAGAGAUAAGCGCAAUCCACUG